Aedes albopictus (Asian tiger mosquito) is the source of this 73-nucleotide non-coding RNA. The record is from Rfam. NCBI's taxonomy places the organism in Eukaryota, Metazoa, Arthropoda, Insecta, Diptera, Culicidae.
UGUUCUGUGGCUUGGUUGGUUAAAGCACCAGACUAGCGAUGCGGAGCCGUGGAUUCGAAUCUCACCAGAACCA